Alosa sapidissima (American shad) is the source of this 150-nucleotide long non-coding RNA. RefSeq lists it as uncharacterized. The transcript has 5 exons. The record is from RefSeq and is a predicted model, not a curated record. NCBI's taxonomy places the organism in Eukaryota, Metazoa, Chordata, Actinopteri, Clupeiformes, Clupeidae.
AGCAGAAUUCACCAAGCGUUGGAUUGUUCACCCACUAAUAGGGAACGUGAGUUGGGAUUAGACCGUCGUGAGACAGGUUAGUUUUACCCUACUGAUGAUGUUAGAUCGGAAGAUCGUCGUGUAGGAACAGAGUCUGGUGUGUGUCUAUCU